This 790-nucleotide small RNA is filed under the name Pongo abelii (Sumatran orangutan). RNAcentral describes it as "retained intron". Lineage: Eukaryota; Metazoa; Chordata; Mammalia; Primates; Hominidae. The record is from RNAcentral.
GUUGAGGGAAGACUGGUCUAGGUGCUGCUCCUGAACUUGGUCUCUGAGCCAUGGCUUCCCAUAGGCACUCAGGUCCCUCCAGCUACAAGGUGGGCACCAUGGCGGAGAAGUUUGACUGCCACUACUGCAGGGAUCCCUUGCAGGGGAAGAAGUAUGUGCAAAAGGAUGGCCACCACUGCUGCCUGAAAUGCUUUGACAAGUUCUGUGCCAACACCUGUGUGGAAUGCCGCAAGCCCAUCGGUGCGGACUCCAAGGAGGUGCACUAUAAGAACCGCUUCUGGCACGACACCUGCUUCCGCUGUGCCAAGUGCCUUCACCCCUUGGCCAAUGAGACCUUUGUGGCCAAGGACAACAAGAUCCUGUGCAACAAGUGCACCACUCGGGAGGACUCCCCCAAGUGCAAGGGGUGCUUCAAGGCCAUUGUGGCAGGUACUGCCUCCUUCCCACCCCGGGUUCCCAGGGAGGAGGCCCUGAGGGCAGACGUGAUGUGGGCUUGCUUAUCACGGUGGGGCUAACGUUGCUCUGAGCUGCUUUGAGAUCUUAGCAUAUAUAUGUACACAUAUACAUACACGUAUAUAUGCGUACACAUAUAUGCUCGCACACACGCACACACUCGGAGACUAAAGAACACUGGCGAGAACAGCCUGUGGCAAGAGAAUGAAGUGAACAGUAUGUAGCGCUUUCUCAUUUGGGCGUAGUAAGUGAUGAAAGCAUGCUUCUUCCUCAGGGUGUCAUUCUGGGCCAGGCAGUCCCUGAUUUAAUGUCUAAGUGCACGCAGGGUAUAAAGGUG